Molecule: ribosomal RNA, 468 nt
Filed under: uncultured bacterium
Lineage: Bacteria
Description: partial 16S ribosomal RNA
Rfam family: Bacterial small subunit ribosomal RNA
Source: RNAcentral
GACGAACGCUGGCGGCGUGCUUAACACGUGCAAGUCGAACGGAAAGGCCCCGCUUUUGUGGGGUGCUCGAGUGGCGAACGGGUGAGUAACACGUGAGUAACCUGCCCUUGACUUUGGGAUAACUUCAGGAAACUGGGGCUAAUACCGGAUAGGAGCUCCUGCUGCAUGGUGGGGGUUGGAAAGUUUCGGCGGUUGGGGAUGGACUCGCGGCUUAUCAGCUUGUUGGUGGGGUAGUGGCUUACCAAGGCUUUGACGGGUAGCCGGCCUGAGAGGGUGACCGGCCACAUUGGGACUGAGAUACGGCCCAGACUCCUACGGGAGGCAGCAGUGGGGAAUAUUGCACAAUGGGCGGAAGCCUGAUGCAGCAACGCCGCGUGCGGGAUGACGGCCUUCGGGUUGUAAACCGCUUUCGCCUGUGACGAAGCGUGAGUGACGGUAAUGGGUAAAGAAGCACCGGCUAACUACGUG